This 440-nucleotide ribosomal RNA is filed under the name uncultured bacterium. RNAcentral describes it as "partial 16S ribosomal RNA". It matches the Rfam family "Bacterial small subunit ribosomal RNA", at positions 338 to 795 of the family's 1533-position model. The record is from RNAcentral.
CCUACGGGAGGCAGCAGUGGGGAAUAUUGCACAAUGGGGGGAACCCUGAUGCAGCGACGCCGCGUGGGUGAAGAAGCGCCUCGGCGCGUAAAGCCCUGUCAGCAGGGAAGAAAAUGACGGUACCUGAAGAAGAAGCCCCGGCUAACUACGUGCCAGCAGCCGCGGUAAUACGUAGGGGGCAAGCGUUAUCCGGAUUUACUGGGGGGAAAGGGGGCGCAGACGGCGAUGCAAGCCAGGAGUGAAAGCCCGGGGCCCAACCCCGGGACUGCUCUUGGAACUGUGUGGCUGGAGUGCAGGAGGGGCAGGCGGAAUUCCUGGUGUAGCGGUGAAAUGCGUAGAUAUCAGGAGGAACACCGGUGGCGAAGGCGGCCUGCUGGACUGCAACUGACGUUGAGGCACGAAAGCGUGGGGAGCAAACAGGAUUAGAUACCCCUGUAGUC